Anguilla rostrata (American eel) is the source of this 5421-nucleotide long non-coding RNA. RefSeq lists it as uncharacterized. NCBI's taxonomy places the organism in Eukaryota, Metazoa, Chordata, Actinopteri, Anguilliformes, Anguillidae. The transcript is spliced from 4 exons. The record is from RefSeq and is a predicted model, not a curated record.
GCCGAUUACCACCCGAACGCAAACACGACUAUGUACGACUUAGUCACGUGCUAUUUUUGGUUUUACGAGUUACGAGACCGACCCAAGAAAGCUGAAGUCCGACUCCAAUGUCAAUGGACUGGCUUUUGUGGUCCUUGGCCGUAAACGUUAGCUAUAAGAUGUAUUAUUUAACAUUGGUUCUCGCGUAAACUACAAGUACUUGUCUAGCUGGUUUGAGUACAAAUUCCCUCUCUAAUUUGGUCCGAAUUUCUCUUCAAGACGUUCACGUAGCGCCUCGUCACUGUGAGGAAAGUUCUGGCAACAGAAUAAAUAUGUUUGCGAUUGGAGUGGACCAGGACCCCUUCAAAAGUGCAACAUUCCCUUGUGCUUCCUCUGUGCCCUAACAUCCCAGAUUUUACUUUGAAAGCUGCUCACUUGAAGGAAUUAAUUGGAGGGGAUUGAAUGACAACUUGGACCAGAUAGACGGGUGUGAGUCCAGCCAUCAGAUCCAAGCAAAAUAACAUCUCAUUCCUGUAUGAUGAUUAUUUUCCCACAAAGCCGUGAAAAAGCUGAAACUCUUGGAAAGGAGUCAUGCGGGGAUUUUUGGCUUGACUCAAGGGACCAGUCCAUCAGGGAAGCAGGUCAGUGUGACCGGAGGACAGCACAGAGAAACACCUGCCCUCCCCUGCCCCCUUUGUGGAGCUUCUGGAGCAGAAGAAGCCAGUCUCAGCCAUAGGACAUGGACAUUUGGGCAGACCAACUGGAGAGAUGGUGCAAUAAGGCAGGGGAGAAGACCCUCAAGUACAGGACAGAGAUCUAUGUGCAGGAGGGGUAUAUAAAGGCUAGUAAGUGAAGUACAUAAGAAGCUGACUUAAUAGGAAGAGAGUAAUUUGAAGGACGAGUAGAAGUGGCUCAUACAUCAUUGGUGGUUUGUGAGUGUAAGACAGUCUUGUCUUCCCGAACGUUCGCAAUUGGAUAAGCUUUCAGGAAAAGAUAGAGUGGUGCUGUGGGACCUGCCCCAUGGGUAAUGGUGCAUAGAGUUAUGUAACCUUACAAGACCUGGAGUGUUACGGGGGUAAACAUGAAGACAAAUAGCUGUGGAUACGUUCACCAGUGUGAACAAUCACCUGUGGCCAGAGCUCUCUAUUGAUGUAAAGUCAGGAACUAAUUCUUCAGCUGUAAUAUAUCCGUCAGUAAAGGCAAACAUAUUCAUCACUAGAUGAACGCAUUCAGAGAAUUGUGGAUUCACACGUGUUGUGCCUCUGCUUGAAAUAAGCACCUGCCUCUCCUAAGUAAAGCCAUUUCCUUGCUGAAAAUUCCAGUGUUAAGAUUUAUUGUUGCAAGUGAAUUCUAGGACAACUGUGAAUGGAAACUCGGUGCCCCAACUCAGGCAGAUUACACCCACUCACCAAAUUGUUCAACAUUAUUUCACAUUUUGUACUGUUUGGGAAUGGACAGUCAAGUAAACCUGCAGAGUGUUCUUAGUGACAAAUUCCAGAAAAGACAAACCCACACUCCAAACUAGUUUAGUCUUUUUCAACGUUUUUAUUUUUUCUGUUUCGACUUUGGUUCAAAAAAGUACAUUCCAUAUGGUUACAAACAGUUUCCCCAUCGAGUAAUGCUCUACGCACACAAAUAUGACAAAAAAAAUAAAAAAGGUCAUUUUGUGUCGUGGCUUUCAAACUUAUUGUGACAUUACAGUGUUACUGGUUAUUGGAAUCAGUCAACCUGUUUCGGUCAACAAACCAAAUGCUACCUACACUGUUUCCAGAUGUAGAUUAAAAGCAAGCAAGCGAAACAAGCUGGCUACUUGGUUCAUGUCUUUUGUUUAGCUAAACAGGUUUUGGCAGGCUAUUUGUAGUGGCUUAAUUUAUAUAUAUAAAAUAAAAUUAAAAAAUCAUCAAAGAGUGACCUCAGUUUGUUACGCCCUCCCCACCUCUCCCAAACUUUGACCUUCACAGUACUCACGCAAAGAAAACAUUUAAUACCACUAACAUAUUUUGAAUGAUUAACAAUUGUCUAAACAUUUCCAAAUUAUUUAAUUCUUUUUCUGCACCACCUCUGCUCAGCAGUUGCUCAUCAUAACUGCACUGUGUUAAUGAUACUAUUGCAACUUUUUCUUUUUUCAUCAGUUAUCAUAAUUAUCACAAAAAUAGUAAAAAAAAAACAGAAAAGCUAGUCAAAGGUAAUUUGAUACUUUUUAAUUGGCCAUUUGAGUAUGAUUUCCUUCUCAAUUCCAUUCUACUGCACUGAGUGAAGACCCCGCAUUAUAACCAUGCAACAUUGUAAAAACAGUUGCUUUGUACAGCAAUAGCUCUAUACUUCCUUUGGCAGUGCUCAAAAGUAGUACAAAUUGUACUGAGGGUCUCAGGCUAAUCACAUAACUGUAGCAUGCUUUUUUUUUUUAACGAUGUUGCAAAUUUGCAACUGGGUCCCUGGAGGGUAAAAAUGUUGCACAUUAGUCUGUGCAAUUCCAUCAAUCAACCCCCCUUCUUUCUUUAACUUUGUUGUACCAUCAACAGGUGUCAUGAAAUCAUUUAUAAGUGAAAUCGUUUAUCAGAUUUCUUAUGUUUGUUACAAAGGUCAGAAGCUCACUUGGGUGCAAUCAUUCCCUGUGCAAAGCAUGUCACUUUGUGGUCUUUGGGCCUUAAUACUGCCAUAUGAUGAGUGAUAUUAACUCUGCAGUGUCAAGAGAAUUUAAUGCAAGAAGUCAAUCCAAUGUUGACUGUUUUGGGAGCUUUAGCAAAGAUGAGCAUAGCAUCUUUCUGAUGAAACUCAAGCAAAGGAAUUAAAGCUUUUUUUUAGUACAAUAGUCACAACAAUAAAGAACAUUAAUAUAAAAAUGCAGUACUCUAUUUUCUUACAGGAUGAAAGGCUAUACUAUUCUACGAAUACAAAUGAUGUCUUUUUUGAUUAUAUAUUUGUCUAUACAUGGUCCAUAUACAUUCAUUUUACAUUUUCAAGAAGACAAUUCUAAGGCGUAGUGGCAGUGCAGUCUAUGGUCUUGCACCUAGAGGAAGUUGCAGUUUGGUGAGAUAAUAGCCCUUUUUUGUUUGUAUUACUUGUCAGAAAUGGAUGCUGUGCCAAGUUUGCCCAAAAAGUCCCCUAUAAUUAGUCAAAAGCUCAUUGGAGACAUUUACCCAUCUGGAGCUCAAUUCACUUGAUAUUCACCUGCUAAAAAGUAAUUACAAGCUUGAUACUAUUAGCGAUUGCACUAUUUUGAACUGUUAGCAUUUUAGAAGGCAAAAUACAUAUACAAGUCAUUAGGUUCUAAUGGUAUUAGGUUUGUAAUUAUUGAUUAGCAGGUAGAUCCAGGUUUCAAGUGAAUUCUCAUGUUUGCAGUUGAUGAUAUUUUCAUUGUAGGCCCCUCAUGACACUUCAUGAUCUGCUUUGGUCAGUUCAUAGGAUUUCAGACACAAGUUAUAAAAAUAAAAACAAUUAGAUUCCACCCAAAAGUGCCAAAAAGUAUCAAUUUUUACUUUGAGAAGCUUUACUGUCUUACCCACCCAAGCAGUUUCUUUAAUCUUUUGCAUGGCCAAUUGAUCUGUAAAAAAACAACCCAUACUGGUUGCAUUUACUUUUCCCCCAUUGUUUUACUUUUCUGCAGUAACAAUGUGUUGUAUACAAGUUCCCAAUGAAAUUGCGCAUAAAAAAAGCUAAGAAUGGUUAGCACUGCAAUUGUUACAUUUCAUCUGGCUUCAAUCAUUUAUCAAUACAGUAUGAAAGUGAGUUUUUUUUGUUUUGUUUCAUUUUUGGUCAUUACAGUUUUAAGUAACAAGGUUAUCACAGUUUUGGUAACUUACUGAGUUCAUGCUAAGUUAAAGAGUUAGUCCCACAUGUGUUUUGAGCUUUUUUUUGUUGUUGUAAAAAAAGAAUUGAUUCUUUGGCAUCAUUCUUGUCUCAGUCGAAGGCCUGGAAGCAGUAGACACCGAACAGCUUGUGCUUCUUGUCGGGGAAGCCGACAAAGCGGACGGCUGCCUCUGUGGGGCUGCAGCGUCUCCUGGGGUUGGAGAUGGGGUAGCGCACGCUGCCGUCGGCCAACCAGCCGGCGUCGCAUCUGUCGUAGCCCAGGAGCUUCCACGCGGCGAACAUCUGCCCCACCUUGGCGAUCUCGGAACCGUCGUUCUCGCAAGCCUGGACAGCCUCGUCAUACGUGAACUUUGUCAUAUUGAAGCCGGUGUGCAAGUAGUAGAAUCGCCCUGAAAGAUCAAAAAAACACAAAUGCUAGUUUGUCGGAAUGCUGGCUUAAGUGGGAAAAUGAUGGGGAAUAUGGGAGGAUGUUCCCAUAAUUACUGGUCCCAUGUGCUGUCUUUUCUGCUGUAACACCAAUGAUCAGUUUAAAUGGGCUGAAUGGCCUGUUCAUCCUUAUGUUCUUGCAUUCCAAAGUCAUUCCCAAAAAACCAGCUCAUGCUCACCUUUGAAGUGGGAGGUGAAGCAGAAGACAUCGUAGCGGCUCUUGGUCUUGUCACGCAGGCCGUAGUUUCUCACUCCGGGGACGGUGCUGUUGCCUCCGCAAGGUCCACGGGGAUUGGUGAUGGGGUACUGCACGGAGCCGUCGUUCAACCAGCCGGCGUUGCACCAGUCGAAGCCGUCCUUCCAGGCCUCGUAGAGCUGGUCAAAGUUGGCCACCACAGCGUCUUGGUCCAGGCAGGCCUUCUCGGCGUCAUGGUAGUUCAGGUUGUAGCGGCCCAGUCGUGGGGAGUAAGGGAAGACCACACCUGAGAAUUAAAGGAACAGAAAAUGCCAUCACAUUAGCUGCUUUAUUGUGUUUAAAGGUAACAGACAAAACAUGAAUGGGCAAUAAGUUAAGUUAUUUGUGUGUGUGUGUGUGUGUGUGUCUCAAGAUUUGAGAACUUUUAUGUAAUCUUAUUUCCCUGAAAGGAAGCAGCCGGAGUCAUAAAUUCAGCAAAAUGAUCUCAAGGGAUUGAAUUUACAUUGAAGUGUUCAGUAGCCUGCAAAAUACAUACAAGGUAUGGAGAGACAUCUUGUUUUGUGAUUAAAAUGGCACCGUUUGAUGCAGUGGUAAUAGAAGUUGAGUAAGGGGACCAUUUGCAAUGAUAAAAAUUGCCUGUUAAGAUAAGAAUAGAAUGCUUGAAGAAGAAAUUGGAAAUACAGCCUGACUAUGGCAAGCAACAAAGGCAAUCAAAGGCAAAUUCCCUUUUCUCACCCAGCCAAGUGCCUGGUUGAGGUUUAAAGACAGGCCAGGUAUGUCAUCAGAUUAAAUAAAAAAUAUCUAGCACUGAUUCUUGGCAAUAUGCUACUUGAAAUAUGAUAUUUUAUGAGGUUGAUUGUUUUGCAUUAGUGGCUCUCAUGUUGGUUUAGCAACACAACAGGGCAACAUGAUUAUUGUUGCAUGAAGUCUAUUCCGCUUCUGUGCAUCUUAUUUUCAUUCUGUUAACAUUAACGCAGGAACAUGCACGCAAUAAAGAGUAAUCAAAGUUG